RNAcentral lists this ribosomal RNA (504 nucleotides) under uncultured bacterium. Its description in RNAcentral is "partial 16S ribosomal RNA". It matches the Rfam family "Bacterial small subunit ribosomal RNA", at positions 28 to 523 of the family's 1533-position model. The record is from RNAcentral.
GAUGAACGCUAGCGGCAGGCUUAACACAUGCAAGUCGAGGGGCAGCAUAAAUAGUAGCAAUACUAUUGGUGGCGACCGGCGGACGGGUGCGUAACGCGUAUACAACCUUCCCUAAACAGGGGGAUAAUCUGGAGAAAUUCGGUCUAAUACCCCAUAACAUCAGAGCAGGCAUCUGUUUUGGUUAAAAUUUCCGGAGGUUUAGGAUGGGUAUGCGUAGCAUUAGCUAGUUGGUGAGGUAACGGCUCACCAAGGCGACGAUGCUUAGGGGGACUGAGAGGUUAACCCCCCACACUGGUACUGAGACACGGACCAGACUCCUACGGGAGGCAGCAGUGAGGAAUAUUGGUCGAUGGGCGGAAGCCUGAACCAGCCAUGCCGCGUGCAGGAUGACGGCUCUACGAGUUGUAAACUGCUUUUGUACGAGGGUAAAGUGGGCUACGUGUAGCCUUUUGAAAGUAUCGUACGAAUAAGGAUCGGCUAACUCCGUGCCAGCCGCCGCGGUAA